AACGAACGCUGGCGGCGUACUUAACACAUGCAAGUCGUACGAGAAAUUCCGCUUCGGCGGGAGAGUAAAGUGGCGAACGGGUGAGUAAUACAAGGGUAAUCUGCCCUUAAAUUAGGGAUAACCUUGCGAAAGCGAAGCUAAUACCUGAUAAGACUACGACCCCUUAGGGGGAUGUAGGAAAAGAUGGCCUCUGUUUCAAGCUAUCGUUUAAGGAUGAGCCCUUGCACUAUUAGCUUGUUGGUGGGGUAACGGCCUACCAAGGCGACGAUGGUUAGCUGGUCUGAGAGGAUGAUCAGCCACACUGGAACUGAGACACGGUCCAGACUCCUACGGGAGGCAGCAGUGAGGAAUAUUGCGCAAUGGGGGAAACCCUGACGCAGUGACGCCGCGUGAGUGAUGAAGGCUUUCGAGUCGUAAAGCUCUGUUAGGUGGAAAGAAACAUUCCAACGCUAAUAUCGUUGGAACUUGACGGUACCACCAGAGGAAGCACCGGCUAACUCCGUG
RNAcentral lists this ribosomal RNA (504 nucleotides) under uncultured bacterium. RNAcentral describes it as "bacterial SSU rRNA". It matches the Rfam family "Bacterial small subunit ribosomal RNA", at positions 29 to 507 of the family's 1533-position model. The record is from RNAcentral.